UGUUUCUGGAUCUCAGUCCUGGCUACGUGGGUGACGUCACUUUGUGAAAACGUAAGAUUCAGACAGACUUCUGUAUGCUGUCCAUCAGUGCAAAACUCACUUAAAACUCUCAACGUGUGGUCCCCAUGGUUGUUUUAACGAAAGCUUGACAGAAAGACUAAGAGCUCUUAGAGGGAAUAUAAUGAGCAACACCCCCACCCCCUGCUGGGGCUUCUUGGAUCCAUUGCCCCAAAGCAAAGCCAACAAACCCUCCCUGACUUAAAAAAAAAAAGGGCUUUCUGGUGUAUGUGGUGUAUGUAUCCCCACAGGGCACCUUUUCUUUUGAGGAGGCUGAAGGUGGAAAGCUCAGUCUAGAGUGUAACCAACAAGCCCCUUCUUGAGUUCAGUUCUAGAAUGGUGAACAAUUUAAAUUUCAGUAUUAAACCAUCUAUAAAUGAGAUGUUUUAAAUCAUAAACAGGUAAAUAAUAAAUGUACUAUAGACUCCAUGGAAAAAAAUAAUUUCCUAUAGCAAAUAUGAUUUCUAAGAUAUGUGAUCCUCAUAUAAUUUUUGAUUUCCUGCAAAGAAACAAAAAUUUGUAAUUUUUUUCUGGGCCACACCCUCAGCAUGUGGAGAUUCCUGGACCGUGGAUCGAACCUGAGACACAGCAGGUGUCUGAAAUGACAACUGCCGGAUUCCCUAGCCUGCUGAGUCACUAAGGAACUCUUUAUAGUUAAUAGUUGAAUAUCUUGGGGGACCGUCUUGCUCUUCAGCCAACAUUGAGGAGAACUGCAAUUAAAUUUAAAUAGGUCUUCAGCCCUCCAGGCUAAUGCUCCUUGUUGAUUCAUUUCUUGAGGUCACUGGAAUACAAGCACUUCCAACUUUCUCUUAUCUUUGCUAAGGAGGAUGAGAGCCAGCACAGUACUUAGAAUUCUCAAAUUGCUUCUAUCAACAAGAUUAUUUCUGCACAAGCUUCAUUAUAAAAUGCCAUUGUGACCUCCAGCAUUUCUUUAAUUAUACUCAGCCCGAGAAAAAAAUUUGGAGGGUGGUUAUCAUUUUAGGUCAUAAUUUUAAGGGAGCCCAAAGGAUAAAGUUGCAUAUUGACUGAAUACAGCUUAUAUUUGACAACUUACUUCCUACCAAAAAAAAAAAAAAAACAAGAAGAAGAAGAAAGAAAAUUGAUACUCAACUCUGGUAGAGAAUAUUAAUGACAACAAGGACACCACCACCUUAAAAACAUAAACAAAUCAAAGAAAAUAAUAUAAAACUGCAAUGUAAUCUGGGUAGCUAAUAAAGAGAAAAUAUUGAUGCCCUUACUUUUAGGUCCAGGCUGGCAGCGUUUUUAUAUCAAAUUAGUUAAGUAAUAAAAAAAGAUGAUUUCAUGCACUGCUUUAGCCAUGCUAGUACUUAUGUUAAAAAAUUGGUUGGAGGAGUUCAACCGCAUAUGAAAUUAGUUCUCAUGUGAUCAGAAUCACAUAUGAAGAAUGGACUGUGGCAGAGGGACAGGAGGGGGAAAGACUAAAAGGAAGGAGCCAACAGUCACCGUUAUUUAUUUCUUUGUCAAAGGAUUAUUUAAUGCCACGCGGCGUCAGGCGCCGUGCCGGACUGCGAGGCGGCAGUGGUGAAUGGACAGCCCUUCCCUUAAAAGCCCCGGGUUCCCCAGGGAUGGGAAGCAGAAUGGACACAGCGACACCAGCCCUGAGAUAGGGCCUCUCACAGGAGAGGCCGCCAACCCUGAUCGGGAAGUGAAGGAAGCCUUUGGAGAAGGCAAACAUGAGAUGGAAAAGACAGAUGCAAGGAGUGGGAAAAUGGGAAGCGUGUUUCAGUGAGAGGAAGUAGCAUGUUUGGGGAAGUCUAAGUUGUUAGGAGGCAAUUGCCAGGCCAAGGCGAGAAGCAAGGAGGGUCUGGAUUAGGGCCAAGAAGAUGGCAAACCCGAGAAGGUGGUGAGCGGGGAGAGAUUAGACAUGGGAGGUGAUGGAGAUGCUCGUGUUUGGCCCGGGGCAAUGCCACUGGUAGGGUGGGGGGAGGAUUUUCUUGCGGGUGUGGUGCAUUUUGGAGAAAUGCAAUCAUUUUUGGACUGGCUGCGUUUGAGGUCCGGUGGAAGAUCCAGGUGAAGUUAAGAAGGCAUUUGCAGGUAAUAGCUCAGAAGUUUUUGUUCCAGAUACAGAUACAGGAGACAUAGAACAAAAGGAGAUAACAAAGCCAAAGGAUGGAAUUAUCUAAGUGAAGGGCAAAAUUUUCAAAAAUAGCAAUAUUUAAGGGUUAGGUAGAGUGUACAAAACUUGUGUGACUGGUGUGACCUUCACAAGUUGGGGUUCAAGUAUGAUCCCAUCUCUUGUUUAGCAAGUUGUGUCCAUACUUUGCAAAGUUUCCAUGAUUUUCUUCCUCAAAAAUUUCCACUAAUGGUAGGUGCUGAUUCAGCCCAAGGAGAGGGAGCUUUGUGGGUCAGUCCAUUCCAAGCAUCAAGUGGAGAGCGCACUGGAGUCUGAUAAGUCCACUGCCUUUGUUUCUCAAGUCCCCAGUGUAUAAGCGUUGAAGAUGAAUCCUGCAGUUUGAUGGAUGAUGUUGGGAUGCCCAAGCUGGCCUGAUAGAUGGUGUGCAGACCACAAUGGGUCGGUGAAUGUUGAAUCUGAAAGGAUGAAAAUGCAGCCUAACCCUCCAAGACCCCAAAAAGGUAGUAAAGAGCCCUAACUCCAGCUUCCUAAAAAGCCCUAGGUGCCCCCGAAUUCCAGACCCUGCUCCCUGCCAGUCAAUAAGUAGAAGGUCACACUUCUUGCUGUUCCAGGGCCUGCUAUCCUGGCCUAAGUAAGAUAACAGGAAGUGAGUUGACUAAUCACUUAUCUGGAUUCUAUAAAACUGCUGGCACCAUAGAAGAAUUGAUUACACAUUGAAAGCCCUAGUGACCUAUCUCAACUGCAAUCUGUCACUCUGCCCAGGUAGCCCGUGCAAAUGCGGACCUCCGGAACUGUAGAAAAAAUGAUGGGUCCACGGAGCGCGGGCUCUCGAUGUUUUAAAAUGAUUGGUUUGGGAAGCGCGGGCUUUGUUGUGAACCCCAUAAAAGCUGUCCCGAUUCCGCACUUGCCGCCGCAGUCCUC
This 3073-nucleotide long non-coding RNA is filed under the name Sus scrofa (pig). Lineage: Eukaryota; Metazoa; Chordata; Mammalia; Artiodactyla; Suidae. The record is from RNAcentral.